This is a long non-coding RNA of Thamnophis elegans (Western terrestrial garter snake), 2652 nucleotides long. RefSeq lists it as uncharacterized. The transcript has 2 exons. The record is from RefSeq and is a predicted model, not a curated record. Lineage: Eukaryota; Metazoa; Chordata; Lepidosauria; Squamata; Natricidae.
ACUAGUCUCCCUUUAUUUAUUUAUCAGCACAAAUAUAACACACACACACACAUAUAUAUAUAUAUGAAAGACCACACUAUCACAAUAAUGCCGUUCAGAAGCAAACGCAGGCACUAAAGCAGAGUUCUGUUUAAGGCAGUCUGUCCAACUCAUAACUCAGAUAGACCACAGACCAGGUUUGGUGGUUAGUGUGGAAGGGAUCGACAAACCUGUUGGUGGGGUUGCCUCUGUGUGUGUGUGUGCACGCACACGCACAAAAUUCAGGCUCAGUGUGUAGUGUGUCACAAAUGUUACGAAUGCGAUGUAGUGUAGUGGGAGAACAAGAGUUUGACCAUGUUCGCCAACUUUUGUGCCGCCGAGACAAAAUCUAAGCAUUUCAACAUUUUGCUCAGCGUCUGUAUCCUUGAGUGGGCCGCUGUACAACCUAGGGGAUGGCUGUGUGUGUGUGUACACGCACGCACAUCCACGUUGCCUCUGGGCGGACCUUGCAAUACUGCUGUGAAGAGUUGGAAGACCCAGAAUGACAAUUUGUGUUAUUUCCUAGGUUUAACGUUGGAUCUUUCUGGGGAGGGGCUCUUGGUUCUUUGUGGCGAUGGUCACUGCAGAUUUUAAAGAGGAAGGAAAAUACAAGGGUCGGGUUGGAUUAAGGCGCUGCUGAAUAAAAACCACAGUGGUGGGAUUUGCACAAUGGACUGAGCUGCAGACUCUUGUCUUACUGAAGCCCGGAAGAGGUGAAGUUCAGAGAAACGCUGAACCAAAAAAAACGUAUGAGCUGUUAUCGGGGGUAACUCCAUGCGUGGCGACUUUGAAGACUUGUGGACUUCAACUCCCAGAAUUCCUCAGCCAGGCAGCCAUGUGGUCUGGAGAAUUCUGGGAGCUUGGAAGCUCACAAAUUUUAAAGUCGGCUGGUUUGGAGACACCCCUGAGUUAUAGGAUGGUUGGGAACCCAAGGCGGCGACUUAGGAAGAGAACGUGAAUCUCCUAGUAAACAGAGAUGUGGCUGCUUGGACAGCUGGAACUAGAUGUGACGAGAUCAGAUUUCCCCACCUGAGGCAAUCUUCUGAAGGACAUCAAUCCUAUAGCAGCUUCGAGGUCAUUCAUUUUUAGCACACGUUCCUUCACAGAUAAACUAAACCAGUGUUUCUCAACCUUGGUCCAUCUGAAGAUGCGUUGAGAAACACUGAACUAAACAGAACCAGCAAGGGUAUUUGGCCUUUUGACCCUCAUCUCUGGGACCACUGCGUCACAAACUGCCUGUCCCCAUUCCCCAAAACCAGUGGGAUUGAGAGCUCCACCAUCUUGUUCCUGAACCGCUUAUUCCAGCUCUUUUUGCUGGAAUAAGUUUGUUUUUUUUUAAAGCGAAUUCCAGAGAUGCAGUAAAUUUUCUGGCUUCCCACCAAGGAUGAAGAAGCACUUCAGCGCUAGACUUUUAUACCUAUAAUCAUCUUUUUAAGGGCCUAAUGCUACGGCGGCCCUAGUCCAAUCAAGGGCAUAAAAGUCGAUGGCUCUCGAGAAGAAGAACAAGAUGUUUCAAGCUCGUUAUGGGAAUGGAGGAGGAUGCUCAAGGAGAGAGCAAGGGGCAAAAAUGACAAAACAAGAGAAGGGGAAAACAGCCCUUCGCUUUGAGAUCACAACAAACCCCUGCCGGGCUAGGAAGCGGCGGUCCUUGGCACCCAUCAAAUCAAGGUACAUCUACAAGGCCACGGCGUUAUUCUGGGCGCAAAAGAACAGGCCGCAGGGAACACCUUGAAUUGCGGAGUCCACCGAUCGGCUUAGGCAACACCCGCUCACCUAGUUGAGCUCCACCAGUUAGCAGUUCUGCUCGUUUUUAAGGACUGCCGGGAAUUAAGAUGGCUGCAAAAUUGUAAUGAACAGCCUGGCAAACCCGUAAUGGAGUCCUGCAUAUGUCAGUGGUGGGUUGCUCUUAUCUUUGCUACCGCUACAACGCUCAUGGUUCAUUCGUGUACGCGGCGGACGUGCGCUGUUUGCGUGCCUGACGUGCACCACGCAGGCAUGCACAUUCCACCGCCCCUGCCAUGCCCAGCUGCUUGUUGGAGGUUGUGCAGGCAUCGCACGCAGUGCCUGUGUGGGCAAUUGGCCUAGUUGCCUUAAAAAGAGGUAAGGAACGCGGGCGGGCGGGUGAGCCAAAUAAGCCACUGUACCGGUAUGGUGGCCACACCUCCCGACUACUACCGGUACGGCUGUACCGACCGGAACCUACCCCUGGCAUACUCCCUCCUCAGUCUUCUUGUUUUUACACGUUCUCUCCAAACCUGGCAACUUUUAAGGCUUGUGGACUUCAACUCCCAGAGUUCCCCAGUCUUAAAGUUGCCAAGUUUGGAGGGCCCCUGUUCUAGAACAUACAUUUCUGUGCCGUUUCCCUUUUGGUGACGUGAGAGAUAUCCAAUUUUGGAUGGAUUUGUCCGCUGUGCCACCAAAUCCAUCCCGAAAGCCAUCAUCCAAAGGUCAGCCCCCAGCAUAAGCCUCCAAGACAAUAUUGCUAGCACACGGGGCAGAGAGGAAUAAAAGUGACCUGGCUAUCCUACGAAAGCACCGAAUGUUUAAUUGCAGAAAUAAAAGAAUGCACUGGAAAGGCUCACACCUCUUUAGUGUUUUUGCUUUGUUUUUUAAUGUGAGGCGUCUGUUUCAAGA